Molecule: ribosomal RNA, 773 nt
Filed under: uncultured Neocallimastigales
Lineage: Eukaryota; Fungi; Neocallimastigomycota; Neocallimastigomycetes; Neocallimastigales
Description: partial large subunit ribosomal RNA
Rfam family: Eukaryotic large subunit ribosomal RNA
Source: RNAcentral
AUCUCUGUAGAGUCUGCAUAUCAAUAAGCGGAGGAAAAGAAACUAACAAGGAUUCCCUUAGUAACGGCGAGUGAAGCGGGAAGAGCUCAAAUUUGAAAUCUUCAAGGUUCUACCUUGACGAAUUGUAGUUUAAAGAAGUGUUUUCUGUUAGAUGAGUAGCAAAAGUUCCUUGGAAUGGGACAUCAUAGAGGGUGAGAAUCCCGUAUUUGGUUAUUCAUUCUAGCUUUGUGAUACACUUUCAAAGAGUCGGAUUGUUUGGGAAUGCAGUCCAAAAUGGGUGGUAAAUUUCAUCUAAAGCUAAAUAUUGGCGAGAGACCGAUAGCGAACAAGUACCGUGAGGGAAAGAUGAAAAGAACUUUGAAAAGAGAGUUAAACAGUACGUGAAAUUGUCAAAAGGGAAGCGUUUGACACCAGUGUUGUUUUUCCGAAAAUCAAUUACGAAUGGCUUGAUUUUGUGUUGUAUUGACCUUAUCAGCUUUCUUCACUUUUUUCGAGUCUUUCUUAAUGCACUUUUCGGUUAACAAGUCAACAUCAAUUUCUUUUGUUGUAAAAGAGUAUUCGGAAGGUGGCUUUCUUUUCGGAGAAAGUGUUUAUAGCCCUAUACUUCUACAAUCGGAGAGAUUGAGGUCUGCAGCGUAGAUCCUUCGGGGUUAGAUACACUUGUGCUAAGUUGUAGCUUUUCAUAGACAACUUGUUGACUAUGUUUAGUCAUGCGGCUUACUCGCUUGUGCUAUUUUACCUACGCUUAGGAUGUUGAACUACUGAGACAUAGA